CAAUAGUGUAUAUUAAAGUUGUUGCAGUUAAAAAGCUCGUAGUCGAAUGUAGGGUUAUAAACGCCGAGAUGUCUUUUAGGAGACGAUUUUUGGCGUCAUAACUCUUUUUUACCGACCAAAAUUUGGUUUUAAAUAAUCAGAUCGUGGGUGCCGGUAAUAUUUACUGUGAAUAAAUCAGAGUGUUCAUGGCAGGCCGUAUGGGCUUAAAUAUCUCAGCAUGGAAUAAUAGAAUAGGACUUAUGGUUCUAUUUUGUUGGUUUUUGGAGCCGAAGUAAUGAUUAAUAGGAAUAGUUGGGGGCACUCGUACUCCGUUGUCAGAGGUGAAAUUCUUGGAUUUACGGAAGACGAACAACUGCGAAAGCAUCUGCCAAGGAUGUUUUCAUUGAUCAAGAACGAAAGUUAGGGGAUCGAAGACGAUCAGAUA
Molecule: ribosomal RNA, 424 nt
Filed under: uncultured eukaryote
Lineage: Eukaryota
Description: SSU rRNA
Rfam family: Eukaryotic small subunit ribosomal RNA
Source: RNAcentral